Molecule: ribosomal RNA, 657 nt
Filed under: Paenibacillus favisporus
Lineage: Bacteria; Bacillati; Bacillota; Bacilli; Caryophanales; Paenibacillaceae
Description: bacterial SSU rRNA
Rfam family: Bacterial small subunit ribosomal RNA
Source: RNAcentral
CAUGCAAGUCGAGCGGACUUGAUGGAGAGCUUGCUCUCCUGAUGGUUAGCGGCGGACGGGUGAGUAACACGUAGGCAACCUGCCUGCAAGACCGGGAUAACCCACGGAAACGUGAGCUAAUACCGGAUAUCUCAUUUCCUCUCCUGAGGGGAUGAUGAAAGACGGAGCAAUCUGUCACUUGCGGAUGGGCCUGCGGCGCAUUAGCUAGUUGGUGAGGUAACGGCUCACCAAGGCGACGAUGCGUAGCCGACCUGAGAGGGUGAACGGCCACACUGGGACUGAGACACGGCCCAGACUCCUACGGGAGGCAGCAGUAGGGAAUCUUCCGCAAUGGGCGAAAGCCUGACGGAGCAACGCCGCGUGAGUGAUGAAGGUUUUCGGAUCGUAAAGCUCUGUUGCCAGGGAAGAACGUCCGGUAGAGUAACUGCUAUCGGAGUGACGGUACCUGAGAAGAAAGCCCCGGCUAACUACGUGCCAGCAGCCGCGGUAAUACGUAGGGGGCAAGCGUUGUCCGGAAUUAUUGGGCGUAAAGCGCGCGCAGGCGGUCAUUUAAGUCUGGUGUUUAAGGCCAAGGCUCAACCUUGGUUCGCACUGGAAACUGGGUGACUUGAGUNCAGAAGAGGAGAGCGGAAUUCCACCUGUCCCGGCGAAAUGCNU